RNAcentral lists this ribosomal RNA (251 nucleotides) under uncultured bacterium. RNAcentral describes it as "partial 16S ribosomal RNA". It matches the Rfam family "Bacterial small subunit ribosomal RNA", at positions 334 to 582 of the family's 1533-position model. The record is from RNAcentral.
AAACCCUACGGGGCGCAGCAGUGGGGAAUAUUGGUCAAUGGCCGAGAGGCUGAACCAGCCAAGUCGCGUGAGGGAAGACGGCCCUACGGGUUGUAAACCUCUUUUGUCGGGGAGCAAAGAGAGUCACGUGUGACUCAUUGAGAGUACCCGAAGAAAAAGCAUCGGCUAACUACGUGCCAGCAGCCGCGGUAAUACGGAGGAUGCGAGCGUUAUCCGGAUUUAUUGGGUUUAAAGGGUGCGCAGGCGGAGGU